GCAAAGUGAAUCACCGCAAGCCGACAUAUCUUCCACCUAGCAGCGAUUCUAUCAAAAAUCCCGUCAAAAUUCUCUUCCUUCUUCAAUUAAAUGGUAGAAAUGAGCGUCAAGUGAAACGAUUUCUCAAAUCAAUUUAUCUUCCACAUCAUUAUUACUAUAUCCACGUGGAUGCACGUCAGAAUUACAUGUUCUCAGAAAUGCAAAAAGUUGCUGAUUUUCUGGAUAAUAUUCAUAUAACCGAACGGAGAUUCAGCACAAUUUGGGGUGGAGCAUCACUUUUACAAAUGUUUCUGCAAGUGAUUAGGGAUUCGAUGAAAAUUGAGAAAUUCAAGGAUUGGGAUUAUAUUAUUAAUUUCUCGGAAAGUGAUUUCCCGAUUCUACCGAUUUCCGAUUUUGAGAGACUUAUCACUGUG
RNAcentral lists this small RNA (413 nucleotides) under Caenorhabditis elegans. Its description in RNAcentral is "Unclassified non-coding RNA Y50D4C.13". Lineage: Eukaryota; Metazoa; Nematoda; Chromadorea; Rhabditida; Rhabditidae. The record is from RNAcentral.